AACUAAGUUUAUUAUUGGUAUGAGCUUUCAUGUGCAUGCACACUUCUUCAGAUACUUCUUCAGGUGUGCAUGCACACGAAAGCUCAUACCAAUAACAAACUUAGUUGG
Molecule: non-coding RNA, 108 nt
Organism: Podarcis lilfordi (Lilford's wall lizard)
Lineage: Eukaryota; Metazoa; Chordata; Lepidosauria; Squamata; Lacertidae
Source: the annotation of a GenBank genome assembly